Molecule: small nucleolar RNA, 85 nt
Organism: Uloborus diversus
Lineage: Eukaryota; Metazoa; Arthropoda; Arachnida; Araneae; Uloboridae
Product: small nucleolar RNA snR60/Z15/Z230/Z193/J17
Exons: 1
Source: RefSeq, a predicted model, not a curated record
GUAAUUUUAGUGAUGAUAUUAUAGUUCAGCUGAUAUUCCGUGCUGAAGAACUAUUCAAGUCUUUCGCUCCUAUCUGAAAAAUUGC